AUCCAGCUGACGAGUUCCGAAUAGAAUGAAAGGCGUAUCCUGGAU
Schistosoma haematobium is the source of this 45-nucleotide non-coding RNA. The record is from Rfam. Lineage: Eukaryota; Metazoa; Platyhelminthes; Trematoda; Strigeidida; Schistosomatidae.